This 125-nucleotide small nucleolar RNA is filed under the name Prolemur simus (greater bamboo lemur). RNAcentral describes it as "Small nucleolar RNA SNORA25 (ENSPSMG00000019556.1)". The record is from RNAcentral. Lineage: Eukaryota; Metazoa; Chordata; Mammalia; Primates; Lemuridae.
AAAAUAUAUUUUGGCUUAUGGAGCUGUGAAAUCAAGAGCUCUCAAUGCUAUGACCAAAGAUUGAAGUUCUCCAUAGGAUACUGUAAUCACUCGAUGGUGCUAUGUUUUCAUGAGGAGAGAUAAGA